UAUUAUAAAUUUCAUUCAUUUGUAUUGUUAAAAACUGGUGUAACUGACGGAAUAAUUAGAAAGUGGCCACGUGUACUUUAUGAUGAUAUAUAAUGAUCAGUUUUUAACAGUAAAAUUAGAUGGAUUUUUUUUAUA
Molecule: microRNA precursor, 135 nt
Organism: Gossypium arboreum
Lineage: Eukaryota; Viridiplantae; Streptophyta; Magnoliopsida; Malvales; Malvaceae
Rfam family: MIR7502 microRNA precursor family
Source: Rfam